AAAUCUCCACAUUUACUCGUAUUUUCUCAUACCUCCUUUUCCAAGCCCAUCACGGGCCUAUCUAAACCUUUGCAGGAUACUCAUCAAGUCCAAACCAGCAUUUGAACUUGAAAACUUAAAUACUCUUAAUAGCGGAUCCAUUGCUUAAUAUGAAAGAGUCAAAUUUAUUAGACUAGCAUCCAGUCAACUCUGACUCCAUAAUUGUCGAGGAAAUUGUUGCUACACCAGUCAUAGUUGAACCUUGAAGAACAUAGAGACUGUCAAUCUUUCGACCU
Molecule: long non-coding RNA, 275 nt
Filed under: Gossypium barbadense (sea-island cotton)
Lineage: Eukaryota; Viridiplantae; Streptophyta; Magnoliopsida; Malvales; Malvaceae
Description: long non-coding RNA (GBAR_LNC021434)
Source: RNAcentral